RNAcentral lists this ribosomal RNA (468 nucleotides) under uncultured bacterium. Its description in RNAcentral is "partial 16S ribosomal RNA". It matches the Rfam family "Bacterial small subunit ribosomal RNA", at positions 28 to 507 of the family's 1533-position model. The record is from RNAcentral.
GACGAACGCUGGCGGCGUGCUUAACACAUGCAAGUCGAACGGAAAGGCCCUGCUUUUGUGGGUUGCUCGAGUGGCGAACGGGUGAGUAACACGUGAGUAACCUGCCCUUGACUUUGGGAUAACUUCAGGAAACUGGGGCUAAUACCGGAUAGGAGCUCCUGCUGCAUGGUGGGGGUUGGAAAGUUUCGGCGGUUGGGGAUGGACUCGCGGCUUAUCAGCUUGUUGGUGGGGUAGUGGCUUACCAAGGCUUUGACGGGUAGCCGGCCUGAGAGGGUGACCGGCAACAUUGGGACUGAGAUACGGACCAGACGCCUACGGGAGGCAGCAGUGGGGAAUAUUGCACAAUGGGCGGAAGCCUGAUGCAGAAACGCCGCGUGCGGGAUAACGGCCUUCGGGUUGUAAACCGCUUUCGCCUGUGACGAAGAGUGAGUGACGGUAAUGGGUAAAGAAGCACCGGCUAACUACGUG